Molecule: long non-coding RNA, 381 nt
Filed under: Gossypium barbadense (sea-island cotton)
Lineage: Eukaryota; Viridiplantae; Streptophyta; Magnoliopsida; Malvales; Malvaceae
Description: long non-coding RNA (GBAR_LNC023276)
Source: RNAcentral
UUCACGCCAAUACAUGAAGACAAGAUCUGCUUUCUGCGAUCUACUUCGCCAUCAAUAUGGGAAGACAAGAUCUGCGUCGUCGAUCCACUUCCUACCAAUAUAGGAAGAUAGGAUCAGCUAUCUUCGAUCUACUUCUUGCCCCGGGAGAUAGAACUAUCAGCUUCAAUGUACUCCACUGUAAUCAUGGAGGUAAAAUCUGCCAUCUUCGAUCUGCUUUGCUGCCAAAUACAGGAAGGCAAGAUCUACAAUCUUCAAUCUAUUCCACUGCCAAAUACAGGGAGAUAGAGUUAUCGGCUUCAAUGUACUCCACUGUGGUCAGGGAGGUAAAAUCUGCCAUCUUUGAUCUGCUUCGCUGCCAAAUACAGGAAGGCAAGAUCUGCA